RNAcentral lists this long non-coding RNA (3339 nucleotides) under Salvia miltiorrhiza (redroot sage). Its description in RNAcentral is "long non-coding RNA (SMIL_LNC007038)". The record is from RNAcentral. Lineage: Eukaryota; Viridiplantae; Streptophyta; Magnoliopsida; Lamiales; Lamiaceae.
ACCCAUCAGUAUUUUUUCCGUUUCCAAUUUUAUCCCUGAUUUUUUCAAUUUCAGAUGAAGGAUUAUGCUAUCUCCAAUAUUUCGAUGUUUUCAUUCUAUCAUCUUCUUCGAACCAGUUUCAUCUGCUAACGAAGAGGCUUUGAAGGUAAUUUCAGAGCAUCGAUUUUUAUGUAUUCUCCAGAUUUUAUUGUUGGCGAAGAACAGAUCUUGCGCUUAGAAAUUCUGACGGUUUAUGUGAAUUCAUGCCGAUUUUCGAUCUAGGGUUCUUAUUUGUGUAAUAUUUUUAUGAUAUUGGGGAAUUGUAAUUACAUAGGUAAUAUGUGGCAGCAAUUUUCCAUUGAUUUGUUGUUUUGUCUUACCCAAUUAUUCAUUGAUUGAUUUUUAAUUUUCGGCCAUGUCCUGUCGAAAAAUUCAUGUUUGGAUUCGAUGCGUCCCGACAGCUGCGAUUUAGCUCACGGUUGUUGGACUAUGACUACAUGAUACUUUGUCUUCUUUACAUCCCUACUAUAAGGUAUUGAAAGCUACACUUCUUCUGCUUGGUUUGAACUCGCUAUAUGUAGAUCGUGAUUAGCUAUUUCAACUUUAUUUUUGUGGAUUAGAUGUACGCAAAUUGAACAAAUAUGCUUGUUUGAUGUCUGAUUUUUUUCUGAUUCCCGGAUGCCAUAUCUCUUGAAAAUUGUUGUGUUUAUUAUAUUAUAAAAUGAUAUACAUUUCUUUUUUUUAAUCACAUUAGGCUAAUUGCAUAACAAUAUGCCAUCUCGAUGCCGUAUAAAUGCUUAUGUCUACUCGAUGGUUGAAGAGAUUUUGCAUCAGCUUAUGUUGCAACUUGUAAUCGUUGCCGAUCACAUAACUUGUAUUAAAACAAGGAAGAGGAAACGGGCUGUAGUGACAGAGCCUUAUCAUAUCUUGCCCCGUAUCCCCGAUCAAAUAAAACACAUGAAUAGGCUCACGAAUGUCAGUGACGUUGACUGCAUUAUAAACUUACGUAUGGAUCGCAAUACGUUUGGGCGGCUUUGCCAAUUGUUACGACAGUUAGGGGGUUUACACAAUAGUAGGUAUAUUGGGGUUGAAGAGCAGGUCGCGAUGUUCCUUUCAGUGCUUGCACAUCACAAAAAAAAUAGAGUAGUGCGUUUCGAUUUUCGUAGAUCAGGGGAUACCAUAACUCGGUACGUACAUAUUGUCCUAAAGGCUGUAUUGUCUCUCCAUGUGCUGUUGUUUGUGAAGCCUUGUCCUAUUGCGGAUGAUUGCAUUGACCCCCGAUGGAGGUGGUUUAAGGUAACUGAAUUUCUUAGUAUCUGGACGUGUUGUGAAAGAUGAUUAACAUUUUGUUGAAAAAACAUACUUUAUUGAUUACAGGGUUGCUUAGGGGCGUUAGAUGGGACAUAUAUCGAUGUGAUGGUGCCCAACCAAGAUAAACCCCGCUACAGGACACGUAAGGGACACAUUUCGACUAAUACCUUGGCGGUUUGUGAUCGACAUCUCAAGUUUGUUUAUGUACUUCCCGGCUGGGAGGGCUCUGCGGCUGACUCGCGAGUUCUACGAGAUGCACUCAAUAGACCUCAUGGUUUGCGAGUACCAAAAGGUAAGCUAUCUUGUAUACUCCAGCUGUAUAUAUCAAGUUAGCUUAAUGCAUUAUAGUAAUCUGCAUAAAUUGUUUGUGUAAAUUAACUUAUUGUUUGCCUCAUUGUAUAGGAAAUUAUUACUUAUGCGAUAACGGUUAUGCUAAUUCUGAGGGAUUCCUCGCACCGUUUAAGGGAGUUCGUUAUCACCUCAAGGAAUGGGGUCCACAAGCAGCAAGACCACAAAACGCGCAAGAGCUCUUCAACCUACGACACGCGAAGGCUCGGAAUGUCAUUGAACGUGCUUUUGGUGUCAUGAAAAUGCGAUGGGGCAUCUUAAGGAGCACUUCGUAUUACCCAAUUCAAAUUCAGAAUCGGUUAAUUAUGGCGUGCUUCGUGCUUAACAAUUUUAUUCGGAGUGAGAUGGCGGUCGACCCCAUAGAAGAGCAAUUCGAUAGACUUAUUGAUGAGAGUGCAGACAUUCAAGGGGAACAUGGCCCUUAUCAAUAUGUGGUUGAGUCAUCACCAGAGUGGAAUGCGGCGAGGGAUGAGCUAUCUCGUUCUAUGUGGCAGCAGUACCUUGCAAAUUGAUUAUGAAAUGUCUUUUCGACUUUGGUUGUUUAGUGUGAUUUUGUGUGCUAGUAUUUUAGUCGACUGCCAUAGAAAUUGGUUGUCAAGUUUGUAAGCUAUUUGACUCACAUCUCAUUCAGAACAAGUGUUGUUGCUAUUUUUUUAUUCUUGUUCUUACCUUUGUUAUUUGCAGGCAUGGAAAAUAACGAUGGUGCUGUUUUUUUUUACAUGUCAUUUUAUAAUCAUUCACCUUACCACAAAUGGUCUAUUCACUAGUUGGGAAUUAAAAGAGGAUUUACAAUUCAACAAUAAAGUCAUCAUUGCAUGUAUUUAAUAUUGGGGGUUAGCAAUCUAAUCCAAAUGACAAUUCAACCACCGUAUUAAUGAGGAGCAUUGAUCAAGCUCGAAAGACACCAACUCUCUAUGUAGAAAUUGGAUAUAAAUUGGUGCUCUUCCUCAAAGAAGCAGCUGGGAAUUUACUACCAACACAACCAUGGCAAAAUUUGACCACAUUCCAGAGCAAGGUUAUUUUCUUUACCCAUCCAAAUGGAAGGCACCCUUCGACCAACAUCUCAUCCAUUGCCUCUUGCUAAUGAAGGUCGAGGUUCAUCCCACUCCACCACAUAAAUCACCACAUGCACAAAUAUCUGCACUCUCAAGACUCAACGAUCACCUUGGUACGAACUUCGUCCUCAUCGAUGUUGAGGAGCGUGUGGAGUUUCUGGAGAUCCGCUACAACACAUUCCGAGCAUUGACGAUGUUGUCGGACACUCAAUGGGAGCCUGCCUCAAAUAUGAUCUUCGCGACAGACAAAGUAUGGGAAAUGAUUUUUAAGGUAUUCUCAAACUUCUCCUUAUUAGCUCAAUGACGCCUUUGUUCAAUCACUAAUAACAGUUGUUUUUAUGUCAAGGAAAAUGACUUGGCGAAAGCAUAUCUACGUGGAGGUGACCCGUGUUAUACCCAGCUGUGCGAUCUCUUCGGCGCAGACAACAUAAAACAUGAGCUAUCUCAUACUAUUGUUCUCAUCAGCGACUCGCCACAAGUCAAGAAACAUGAGCUAUCUCAUACUGUUGUUCUCAUCAGCGACUCGCCACAAGUCAAGAAAUUGGAGCUCAUUGAAGUGGGUGAUUCGUCUAGUGACGAGGAAGUGAACUCGCCAAUCGAUGGGCCCAACAAGAACGUUGUCCGCAAGCUUACCUUCGUGAGCGGG